UACGUAGGGGGCUAGCGUUGUCCGGAAUCAUUGGGCGUAAAGCGCGUGUAGGCGGUCCGGUAAGUCCGCUGUGAAAGUCGGGGGCUCAACCCUCGGAUGCCGGUGGAUACUGUCGGGCUUGAGUACGGAAGAGGCGAGUGGAAUUCCUGGUGUAGCGGUGAAAUGCGCAGAUAUCAGGAGGAACACCAAUGGCGAAGGCGGGCUACUGGGCUGAUACUGACGCUGAUGCGCGAAAGCUAGGGGAGCGAACGGG
RNAcentral lists this ribosomal RNA (253 nucleotides) under uncultured bacterium. RNAcentral's name for it is "partial 16S ribosomal RNA". It matches the Rfam family "Bacterial small subunit ribosomal RNA", at positions 524 to 776 of the family's 1533-position model. The record is from RNAcentral.